Molecule: long non-coding RNA, 294 nt
Filed under: Helianthus annuus (common sunflower)
Lineage: Eukaryota; Viridiplantae; Streptophyta; Magnoliopsida; Asterales; Asteraceae
Description: sRNA HanXRQr2_Chr09g0385661
Source: RNAcentral
UUCUUCCCUCCUCCGAACACACCUCACCGGAAAAACAAACGGGCCACGUACCUCCCUCUCACCCCACGACACACCUGCAAUUUCCGAUCUGCUAUACAUCGCCGGAGAAGAAACCGAACUCGCCGGGAACUUGCUCCUACGCCGGAACCACCACCAGCCACCGCCGGGCCGCAACUGCCGGCACAUGGAUCAUGGUAAUUCUCUUGUGCACAUCCUCUUUGGAAAAUCCCUGAUCCUUUAUCUUUCCAAGAAAUACGCAACGCAACCUAAGGUUGAUUGAUCAAGAUACAAGAA